Molecule: ribosomal RNA, 495 nt
Filed under: uncultured bacterium
Lineage: Bacteria
Description: partial 16S ribosomal RNA
Rfam family: Bacterial small subunit ribosomal RNA
Source: RNAcentral
GACGAACGCUGGCGGCGUGCCUAAUACAUGCAAGUAGAACGCUGAAGGAGGAGCUUGCUUCUCUGGAUGAGUUGCGAACGGGUGAGUAACGCGUAGGUAACCUGCCUGGUAGCGGGGGAUAACUAGUGGAAACGAUAGCUAAUACCGCAUAAUAGUAGAUGUUGCAUGACAUUGGCUAAAAAGGUGCAAUUGCGUCACUACCAGAUGGACCUGCGUUGUAUUAGCUAGUAGGUGGGGUAACGGCUCACCAAGGCGACGAUACAUAGCCGACCUGAGAGGGUGGUCGGCCGCACUGGGGCUGGGACACGGCCCAUACUCCUGCGGGAGGCAGCAGUAGGGAAUCUUCGGCAAUGGACGGAAGUCUGACCGAGCAACGCCGAGUGAGUGGAGAAGGUUUUCGGAUCGUAAAGCUCUGUUGUAAGAGAAGAACGAGUGUGGGAGUGGAAAGUGCACACUGUGACGGUAUCUUAACAGAAAGGGACGGCUAACUACGUG